CUGGUUUAGCACGAACAAAGAUUAAACUCAGCUCUGUGCAAAGUCUCCCUGGUUGAAAGGUUAUCCAAGAUAAAUUGAUUGUUGGGCAAGGAAAUUCCCUGAGGGUGAAAAUUACCUGCUAGCCAUUUGGACAGUAUCUUUUCUAAUAAAAUUCUCUUUCUCUUUC
This is a long non-coding RNA of Mastomys coucha (southern multimammate mouse), 166 nucleotides long. RefSeq lists it as uncharacterized. NCBI's taxonomy places the organism in Eukaryota, Metazoa, Chordata, Mammalia, Rodentia, Muridae. The record is from RefSeq and is a predicted model, not a curated record. The transcript has 2 exons.